GUGGCGGACGGGUGAGUAACGCGUGGGUAACCUGCCUUGUACUGGGGGACAACAGUUGGAAACGACUGCUAAUACCGCAUAAGCGCACAGCUUCGCAUGAAGCAGUGUGAAAAACUCCGGUGGUACAAGAUGGACCCGCGUCUGAUUAGCUGGUUGGUGAGGUAACGGCCCACCAAGGCAACGAUCAGUAGCCGGCCUGAGAGGGUGAACGGCCACAUUGGGACUGAGACACGGCCCAAACUCCUACGGGAGGCAGCAGUGGGGAAUAUUGCACAAUGGGGGAAACCCUGAUGCAGCAACGCCGCGUGAGUGAAGAAGUAUUUCGGUAUGUAAAGCUCUAUCAGCAGGAAAGAAAAUGACGGUACCUGACUAAGAAGCCCCGGCUAACUACGUGCCAGCAGCCGCGGUAAUACGUAGGGGGCAAGCGUUAUCCGGAUUUACUGGGUGUAAAGGGAGCGUAGACGGUUUUGCAAGUCUGAAGUGAAAGCCCGGGGCUUAACCCCGGGACUGCUUUGGAAACUGUAGAACUAGAGUGCAGGAGAGGUAAGUGGAAUUCCUAGUGUAGCGGUGAAAUGCGUAGAUAUUAGGAGGAACACCAGUGGCGAAGGCGGCUUACUGGACUGUAACUGACGUUGAGGCUCGAAAGCGUGGGGAGCAAACAGGAUUAGAUACCCUGGUAGUCCACGCCGUAAACGAUGAUUACUAGGUGUUGGUGGGUAUGACCCAUCGGUGCCGCAGCAAACGCAAUAAGUAAUCCACCUGGGGAGUA
RNAcentral lists this ribosomal RNA (769 nucleotides) under uncultured bacterium. RNAcentral's name for it is "bacterial SSU rRNA". It matches the Rfam family "Bacterial small subunit ribosomal RNA", at positions 95 to 882 of the family's 1533-position model. The record is from RNAcentral.